ACGCUGGCGGCGUGCCUAAUACAUGCAAGUAGAACGCUGGAGAGAGGAGCUUGCUCCUCUUGGAUGAGUUGCGAACGGGUGAGUAACGCGUAGGUAACCUGCCUUGUAGCGGGGGAUAACUAUUGGAAACGAUAGCUAAUACCGCAUAACAAUGGAUGACCCAUGUCAUUUAUUUGAAAGGGGCAAAUGCUCCACUACAAGAUGGACCUGCGUUGUAUUAGCUAGUAGGUGAGGUAACGGCUCACCUAGGCGACGAUACAUAGCCGACCUGAGAGGGUGAUCGGCCACACUGGGACUGAGACACGGCCCAGACUCCUACGGGAGGCAGCAGUAGGGAAUCUUCGGCAAUGGGGGCAACCCUGACCGAGCAACGCCGCGUGAGUGAAGAAGGUUUUCGGAUCGUAAAGCUCUGUUGUAAGUCAAGAACGAGUGUGAGAGUGGAAAGUUCACACUGUGACGGUAGCUUACCAGAAAGGGACGGCUAACUACGUGCCAGCAGCCGCGGUAAUACGUAGGUCCCGAGCGUUGUCCGGAUUUAUUGGGCGUAAAGCGAGCGCAGGCGGUUUGAUAAGUCUGAAGUUAAAGGCUGUGGCUCAACCAUAGUUCGCUUUGGAAACUGUCAAACUUGAGUGCAGAAGGGGAGAGUGGAAUUCCAUGUGUAGCGGUGAAAUGCGUAGAUAUAUGGAGGAACACCGGUGGCGAAAGCGGCUCUCUGGUCUGUAACUGACGCUGAGGCUCGAAAGCGUGGGGAGCGAACAGGAUUAGAUACCCUGGUAGUCCACGCCGUAAACGAUGAGUGCUAGGUGUUGGAUCCUUUCCGGGAUUCAGUGCCGCAGCUAACGCAUUAAGCACUCCGCCUGGGGAGUACGACCGCAAGGUUGAAACUCAAAGGAAUUGACGGGGGCCCGCA
This 910-nucleotide ribosomal RNA is filed under the name uncultured bacterium. Its description in RNAcentral is "bacterial SSU rRNA". It matches the Rfam family "Bacterial small subunit ribosomal RNA", at positions 33 to 925 of the family's 1533-position model. The record is from RNAcentral.